This 486-nucleotide ribosomal RNA is filed under the name uncultured bacterium. RNAcentral's name for it is "partial 16S ribosomal RNA". It matches the Rfam family "Bacterial small subunit ribosomal RNA", at positions 30 to 507 of the family's 1533-position model. The record is from RNAcentral.
AUUGAACGCUGGCGGCAUGCCUUACACAUGCAAGUCGAACGGCAGCACGGGUGCUUGCACCUGGUGGCGAGUGGCGAACGGGUGAGUAAUACAUCGGAACAUGUCCUGUAGUGGGGGAUAGCCCGGCGAAAGCCGGAUUAAUACCGCAUACGAUCCACGGAUGAAAGCGGGGGACCUUGGGGCCUCGCGCUAUAGGGUUGGCCGAUGGCUGAUUAGCUAGUUGGUGGGGUAAAGGCCUACCAAGGCGACGAUCAGUAGCUGGUCUGAGAGGACGACCAGCCACACUGGGACUGAGACACGGCCCAGACUCCUACGGGAGGCAGCAGUGGGGAAUUUUGGACAAUGGGCGAAAGCCUGAUCCAGCAAUGCCGCGUGUGUGAAGAAGGCCUUCGGGUUGUAAAGCACUUUUGUCCGGAAAGAAAUCCUUGACUCUAAUACAGUCGGGGGAUGACGGUACCGGAAGAAUAAGCACCGGCUAACUACGUG